Molecule: long non-coding RNA, 731 nt
Organism: Pogoniulus pusillus (Red-fronted tinkerbird)
Lineage: Eukaryota; Metazoa; Chordata; Aves; Piciformes; Lybiidae
Exons: 3
Source: RefSeq, a predicted model, not a curated record
GUUGGAGAGUGCUGCGGAGGAAGCAGCCGGAGAGGGGCGCUGGGAGCUGGCAGCGGAGCGGGACCGGAGCGGCUGCGAGCGCAGAGCCGGGGCAGGGCGAAGCUCGGAGUCUCUCAGCCCCACAGCCGCCAGUGAGGCAGGGAGCAAAGCAGGAGCCUGCAGCACCGAGAGGCGGCGGCGAGCGAGGCUCUUGAGACGCCUGGCAGCGGCUCCGGGGGCAGAGCCGGCCCGGCCCAGGCGAGCCUCGCCACGGCCCUCGGCGGCUGCCGUCCGACUCCGUCCCGCCGGCGGGAGCCGCCCCGAGCCCUGCAGGCGUCCGGCCGCGGUGCUCGGCGACGGUGGCUGCUGGUAGAGCCCAGCGGCAGCGAGACGCCAGCGGCGGCAGCCUGCAUCGCCUCUGCUUCUCCCAGCCGGCAGAGGCUGCAAUGACAUCCCCCAGCAGCCUGCUUCAGGCGAAGCUGAAGAGCUGUAGCUCAGCCUUCCUUUGUGGCAGAGCUGUUCCAGCUCCCUGUCUCCUUCUGUGGCCUUCUCUGGCCCCGCUCUUAACUGGUUGAUGCCUUCCCUGUGCUGGGGAGCUGGAUGCAGCAGGUGAGGAGGAGCCACAGCAGAGUGCAGUAGAAGGGCAGAAUCGCCUGCCCUGCUCUGCUGAGCACUUUGAAGAGCCAGGUAAUGACACAGUGCCUUGAGUCAAAGCCUCUUUCCUCCUGUGUGCUUCUGCCUGACCUCUCCCU